GUUAUAUAUUUUAAGAAAUGUUCUUUAAUGAAAGCUGAGUUAGGGUAUCCUUUAACUUUUGAAAACAUUUUGCAUAGUUUUUGGAUAAAUUUAUUCUUUGUUGUUUUGGGGAGUAUAACACGUGAGCCCUUACUCAGUAGUUAUACACUGGUGUUCUUUGCUCCCAGCCAUCUCCAGUAGAGAAGUACUCCGUUCUUCACACGGCAGUUUAUAGAGCAACAACAGAAACAAACCACACAGCAGAAAUAAAUGAAGAAGGUGGUGUGUGUUCUAGUAAAGUACUCUCAAAAAAACAUAAGGAGGAAAGAGAAGAAUCUGUUUGUCAGCCCACGGGAGGGUCUGACCAUGAGGCAAUGGAGCUGAAGAGGAGCAUAGUGAAAGUGGCAUCCACAACCUCCGAGGACAAUAGCGGUACAUCACCUUCUUCAACUCUAUAUGGUAAAGUCCAUAAAAUGACAGAAACGUGCAGUAGUAAUAAGUAUGACUUUCUUUCCUUAUCG
This 500-nucleotide long non-coding RNA is filed under the name Phasianus colchicus (ring-necked pheasant). RNAcentral's name for it is "lncRNA (ENSPCLG00000001589.1)". The record is from RNAcentral. Lineage: Eukaryota; Metazoa; Chordata; Aves; Galliformes; Phasianidae.